RNAcentral lists this ribosomal RNA (216 nucleotides) under Glomeromycotina sp. RNAcentral's name for it is "partial small subunit ribosomal RNA". The stretch from base 40 to 216 matches the Rfam family "Eukaryotic small subunit ribosomal RNA", at positions 686 to 864 of the family's 1831-position model. The record is from RNAcentral. Lineage: Eukaryota; Fungi; Glomeromycota.
GGGUCAGUAGGUUGGUCGUGCCACCGGUACGUACUGGUCUCACUGAUUGCUCCUUCCUGAAGAACCGUAAUGCCAUUAAUUUGGUGUUGCGGGGAAACAGGACUGUUACUUUGAAAAAAUUAGAGUGUUUAAAGCAAGCUAACGCUUGAAUACAUUAGCAUGGAAUAAUGAAAUAGGACGAUCGAUCCUAUUUUGUUGGUUUCUAGGAUUGACGUA